Molecule: long non-coding RNA, 4447 nt
Organism: Triticum aestivum (bread wheat)
Lineage: Eukaryota; Viridiplantae; Streptophyta; Magnoliopsida; Poales; Poaceae
Exons: 3
Source: RefSeq, a predicted model, not a curated record
UUUCCCCUUCCUCGCAGCCGCCUCCCCAAGCCCCUCGACCUUCCCGCGUGGUCACCCUUCUGUGACCUCGCCCUCCGACGAGCUCUCCCCCUCAGCCAACCUGCUCUAGGAUCUGACAGACCAGGGAGGCAAAGAGGGUUGGCCCAUCUGCCUAUGUGUCUUCACAGUCAGGCAAUGAGGAAAGGCGAGGAUGCAAUGGCCACUGGAGAAGCAAAGGGGAGGAGGUGACGUAAGAGGGCAGCAGCGAUCUCAGCAGCUCGGGUUUCCUCGGUCCUUAGUAGGUCACCUACCUCGUCCGCCGCUCCACCGCCUCGAGCGAGCCCCCGCCAUGGAGCCGCCGCUCCACCACCUCGAGCCAGCCGUCGCCAUGAAGACAUGGAUCCUACACAGGAGGAGGGGAAACGCGAAGGGGAGGAGCGGUGGUGGCGGCGUCAAGCUGCAAAGAGGCGUAGCUCGGGCGCCAGACGACGGAGGCGUCCUUCCCUCCAGCUGCAUCGCCGUCCAUCUCUCUACAUGUUUCUCGAUCCGCUUCUGCCGCGCGCUGUGCUUCUGGAUCGCGUGCAGGUCGCUACCAUAGGUGAGCAGGGGGUGGUGUGGUCUUUGUGGUGCGCAUGAAGCAGGGGAGGAUGAGCGGGAUUGCCAUGAGGCAAGGAGUAGCAAGGUCUCAUCUUCAACCCAGUUUUUACUCCUUGAUUUAUGGUGAUUCUAAAGACUAAACACAUGUGUGCAGAUAUGAGAGAAAAGGAGAAGGGGGUGAAUCUUGAGGAAGAGCUCGGUGAAGAAAAAAGUGAUCUCUCUCUCACUCUCACAUUUGUUCUGCAGUGUACCAGAGAGUAAUUAUUGUCAGAAGAUUACAUUCUUCAUGUGGUACAUAUGUCUUCUUCUUCAAACAGUGUUCUUUAGUUUCUGGAUUUAGUGCAGGUUCAUAGUCAUGUUUGCUUCAUGAAUGUACAAUUUUGCAGCUGAUGGUUUAAUUGUUCAAAUGGGAGCUUCAUAGGGGCAUGUUCUCAAUUCCACAUCUUUCCAGAUUGUUGUUUCAGGGUUGAUACAAUACUCAGUUUGGUGGUUUCCGUUUGUUUUUGCUGCAGAGAGUGGAUGUUUCAGAAUGGUGCGGACAGUUUGAGCAGCAAUAGAUCCUUUUUAAGUCCUAGAUUGUUACUACCGAGAAUGGAAUUGGAGAAGAGAUACUUUUGGUGUUGUCCUAUUAAAUCUCGUAUCUAAUAGAUGACACAAAGUUAUUGGUUUAGUUGGCAAAAGAGAAGUCCAGAUCAAUUGUGAGGAUUUGAUGAUUGGCAACGAGCGCCGGAGCAGCCUACGGACAGGAGCGGUGUUCAAGACAACAAGUGCGGCUCGGGAAGCGCUGGUUGAGAUUUCAAGGUGAGCUCUUCCCAGUCCUCUCUCUCGGCUUGUGCAUUUGUCACUUUAUUUUUCUUGUGUGGUGUUGUCUAUUUGACACAAUGCCAAAAACAUCGAUGAUGUUGGACAGAGCCUGUUCAUGGUAUAUAUAAUCAAGAGAUUUUCUAUGGCCCCUGCUCCACUUUUGUGGAGUUCGACAAAUUCAUGGUGGGAACCCAUUGAAAAUUCACUUUUCUCUCAUUUUUCUAGAAUAUUUGCAGCUAUUUAUCUCUGCCAAUUGCCCUUCCCAAGCUAAGCUCCUUCUAUCUCGUGUCAGAGCUUGGUAACGGCGGUCGCACAACAACAAGGUUGGCAAUUAACAACUCUCUUCUUUGUCGCGUGGUUGCUCAGGCUCUGAUUGAGUUGUGUGGUGGAAGAGUUACAGCCACACUAAUUCAUAAUUGGACAUGGUACAAUCGAUUCAUGUGCUCAGUUUAUAUGUAUGCUACUUUUGCAGUCUGUGGUUGAUGGAGGAAGCAUGGGGAGGAGCAAAAACAAAUGGCGAUCUCCAUGUGUGACUGUUUUUACAAGCUUAGAUUCAACGAUUGGUUGUUGUGCAUUUUAGCAUUUGCAUGGUGUCCGCCUGAUCCAGAGGUUGCGAUAUAAUUUGUCAACCGGUGAAUUGUUAUAAAUUCAACCUUCUCAUUAUGGUGUUCAUUUCCAUGUGCAUAAAUAGAUUGCAUCUUGCUUUAUAAUAGAUUUCGUAGGUCUGCUCUGUACCAAGAAAUACCUGCAGGUUUUAAUAUUGUUGUGUGCAUAUAAGCUUCAGUAAUUUGUUGGGCAUUAACCUCAAUCACUUAUUAUACAUGGAUCUUAGUGAUUUCCUUUUUCGGCAUUUAUCAUUUCGACAUUAUGUUCUGCUUGUUGUAUAUUGAGAAAGAACCCAUCGUUUGUGACAUUUAUUUUGGAUGCUUUCUAUACAACACUCUUGAUUCUUUAUGUUCAGUGUCCUUGAUAUUUUUGUUCCUUGUUGUUUCUUUCCGACAGGUACAAGAGGUUAAUUGGUCGCUUGGCCUGCUUUUGGUAUAUCAAUGAGGAUAUCGCUGACAUAAUUUUUUUUAGUGAGAGUUAAUUCCGCACAUCAGUUGUUAUGUGUGCCUGUUAUUGUUUGCUUGGCUUGGUAAUCGUCUUCAUGCCUUUCGCUCUAUUCAACAGCCCUGGAGAGAAAUUUACUAUUGUCGAUGCAUACAAUCAUUCGGGGUAGAAUCUGAUCUCGAGUAAGCAUUGUGCUCCAUCAAACUAUGGAGCAUCUGGACUUCUUAAUCCUAACAUUCGGGAAUGCACUUCGUUUGAUGCCUUGAAAGAGCAGUAUAUUGGGCAUCAUGAGAUAGUCAUCUAGAGUAUGGUCAGGUUUGAAAUGACUUCAGCUUACAAUUUGUGAUUGUGCAAUCAGCUUUCCUACAAGGUACUUUCAGAUCUUCAUUUGAGUCUUUAUACAUGAUCAUUUAAAAAUCCCUGGAAAAUGAACUGCAUUGGUCUAAUUGAAAAUUUAAAAGCACAAGACGGCUUGUGUAGGCAUACAUAUCGAUGCUUAUUUAUUUUAGACCGUUUAAAGGAAUAAGGGUCCAUGGCAUAUUUUUGUUUCAAGUAUUUGUCUGCAGAUGUUUCUAUAAAACAAUACAAUUUAUUAUGUUACAGUUAAGAAUCUAUUCAAAAUUGCACUUUAUCUUGCACAGAUCAACUCUGUUAAGCCACAAGGUCCACUUAGCUAUCAUUUCUCCCCAUUUCCCAGUAAGAGCCAGCAAUAGGUAGGUUUAAUUUUGUCUCUGUGAGCUGUCUGAUUAAAUGUUGGGUUUGUGGUGACAUCAAGUGUCGAUGUGCAAUUCUUUCUAUUUUAAAUGUUUCUUUGUUUUCUUUAUAUAACAACUAUGCAAUUUGGGUGGCAUGUUCCAAGAAUAUAUUUUUGGGUAGCAUUUGACAUUGAAAUAUCUUCCUCAGAAGUCUGUAAGAUGCCUCAUUUUCCGGUAUUUUGCUUGAUUUAACUGCUAAACUAUAUGUUUCCAAAACUGGCGUUAAUACUUUUACAGCUAGAGUCAGCGAGUACAGUACCGAAACUGAGCCCAUUUGCCAAAAUAUUUGCUAUUUUUCUUAUCUUCCUAAGGGCAAAGUUUUUGCCAAGUGGUUGAAUGACAAUAUUAUGCGAUUGGGUCUCACAUUCAUUAAAAUAGCAUAGGAAUUCUGCACCCGAGUAAUCAUUUAUUAUAACAUCCAACUUUGUUUGUAGUUUGCUCCUCUCGACGAUAGGAUGAGGCUGGUAAUAUGCAUAUAAUCAUCCAUCUACGGCGUGCAUCCGUUAAUCGUGUUUUAUACAGCAGGAAUGCUUCAGUUAUCUUUUUUCUUGACUGAAUGAUGCAAUAUCCGAUUUCUUAUAUGCAGGUUUUAGAAUCAUUUAUUUACCAGGUUUUAUAAUCUAUUAUGUAAAGAACAUUGAGCACACCUUCCAGUUGGCAGACAAUUUUCCCCUAUAUCUAUAGAUAAGGUGGUUAGUAACGCCUAAUUGUUGCCUGUCUCCGUACAAUUGUGUAGAAAUGCCUAAUCGCGCCUAAGAUAGAAAGGGCAAGUAGGUGGCCAAACGCAUAAUUAACGCCUAGCGCUUUUUUGAACUUUGUUGGUUACUCAAUGACCUUUUGGUUAGUGUAUUAUUGGUUCGGUUAUGUGGCACCUGCAAUAUGCAAGAAAAAUGAAAUAGUUGACCUGAAGUGUGAUCAUACUUUUUCAGUGGCAUUACGUUGAAGUCCAAAGCUCUUUAUUUUCGGCAACUAUUUAAAUGCUCGGCUUGUAGAUUAUGUACAAUUGUAAGACUGGCAGCACCAGGUUUGUCUCCAUUUUGCCUAAUGUGAUGAUGAAAUUUUAAGUGCAUGAAAUAUAUCAGGACGAAAGUACUAGAUCACAAGAUCCUUUGAUUCGUGGUUCCUGUAUGAUUUGUUCAAAAAGAUUAUUUUCUCUUUUAUGGAUAUUAAAUUGUAUGUUAACUCAUGGUUGUGGUAGUUUGAUGGAAGCAGAAUCGCACUUACUGUUGUGGUGUUUAUCAGACAUUAAAACAUAUCUUCUU